This 276-nucleotide long non-coding RNA is filed under the name Rattus norvegicus (Norway rat). RNAcentral describes it as "long non-coding RNA NONRATT023154". Lineage: Eukaryota; Metazoa; Chordata; Mammalia; Rodentia; Muridae. The record is from RNAcentral.
ACACUUUGGAAGACAGCGACAUCUUUUCACAGUUGCCCAACUGUGGUAAGGAGAAGUCAUACUGCAGAGAGAGAGAGAGAGAUGUGAGCCUGGGGCUGCUCGCCCUCCCCACUCAGCCCUGUACUGGGAAGUGCAGGAGGCAGCACUCAGCACUCAGCUCAGCCUCACUGAGGAGCUGAGAUUUCCAAAGUCCAAGUCGUGCUCGCAGACUCCCUGUAUAAAUCAACUCUGCACACCAGACCACACCUUUUGCUUCUCUUGCCUAUAGGGUAAGCC